AUGGGCCUACGGGGCGCAGCAGUGGGGAAUAUUGCACAAUGGGGGGAACCCUGAUGCAGCGACGCCGCGUGGGUGAAGGAGCAUCUCGGUGCGUAAAGCCCUAUCGGCAGGGAAGAAACAGACGGUACCUGACUAAGAAGCCCCGGCUAACUACGUGCCAGCAGCCGCGGUAAUACGUAGGGGGCAAGCGUUAUCCGGAUUUACUGGGUGUAAAGGGAGCGUAGACGGCAGUGCAAGUCCGGAGUGAAAGCCCGGGGCUCAACCCUGGGACUGCUCUGGAAACUGUAAAGCUGGAGUGCGGGAGG
This 305-nucleotide ribosomal RNA is filed under the name uncultured bacterium. RNAcentral describes it as "bacterial SSU rRNA". It matches the Rfam family "Bacterial small subunit ribosomal RNA", at positions 333 to 655 of the family's 1533-position model. The record is from RNAcentral.